UGGGGAAUAUUGCACAAUGGGGGAAACCCUGAUGCAGCGACGCCGCGUGAGUGAAGAAGUAUUUCGGUAUGUAAAGCUCUAUCAGCAGGGAAGAAGAAGGACGGUACCUGAGUAAGAAGCCCCGGCUAACUACGUGCCAGCAGCCGCGGUAAUACGUAGGGGGCAAGCGUUAUCCGGAUUUACUGGGUGUAAAGGGAGCGUAGACGGCGAAGAAAGUCUGAAGUGAAAGCCCGCGGCUCAACCGCGGAAUGGCUUUGGAAACUUUUUUGCUGGAGUACCGGAGAGGUAAGCGGAAUUCCUAGUGUAGCGGUGAAAUGCGUAGAUAUUAGGAGGAACACCAGUGGCGAAGGCGGCUUACUGGACGGUAACUGACGUUGAGGCUCGAAAGCGUGGGGAGCAAACAGG
RNAcentral lists this ribosomal RNA (405 nucleotides) under uncultured bacterium. RNAcentral describes it as "bacterial SSU rRNA". It matches the Rfam family "Bacterial small subunit ribosomal RNA", at positions 355 to 776 of the family's 1533-position model. The record is from RNAcentral.